GUAGNUAAUCUAAGUAAGCCUAUGGCAAGGUCUUUUGAGAUUAAGUACAUACUAGCAUGAGUUGAUUCUAUGUGCCAAGGAUGGUUUCUUUAAUCUUGGUAUUCAUAGUGCAUAUAUUCAAAAGCAUACCAAGUACACAUUAUCAUAUCUAUGAUCAAUAAACAAUAAUGCCAUGGAUAAAAACUCUCAAUCAAACAUAUAGAGAAUUCAUAGAAUUAAUCUUGAUAAUGAUUAAUCAUUUAGCAACUUUAUCCAAUGGUGAGUAAAGUAUCCUAUAAAAUGAAGUGAUUUGAUUAUAUUUCCAAAAGUAGUUUCUAUAUCACAAAAUUGAUCAAUACUAGCAAUUCAUACUAAAGCAAAAAUAAUGAUGAGAUGCAAAGAUUACUGAUUUCAUUAUUAUUAUUUAAAAUUACUUUUCAUAAGUAUAUUUUAAGUUUCAAUGUGUCUAGAACACCCAUUUGUAUGAAUCUAUUUGUUUCAUGGGUAUCUUGGCACAUCUAUGUCUACAUCCUCAUAUUUUCAUUUUGGGUACCCAAGCUUGCUUGG
RNAcentral lists this long non-coding RNA (546 nucleotides) under Phoenix dactylifera (date palm). RNAcentral's name for it is "long non-coding RNA (PDAC_LNC020982)". Lineage: Eukaryota; Viridiplantae; Streptophyta; Magnoliopsida; Arecales; Arecaceae. The record is from RNAcentral.